This 456-nucleotide ribosomal RNA is filed under the name uncultured Sphingobacteriales bacterium. RNAcentral describes it as "bacterial SSU rRNA". It matches the Rfam family "Bacterial small subunit ribosomal RNA", at positions 925 to 1382 of the family's 1533-position model. The record is from RNAcentral. Lineage: Bacteria; Pseudomonadati; Bacteroidota; Sphingobacteriia; Sphingobacteriales.
ACAAGCGGUGGAGCAUGUGGUUUAAAUUCGAUGAUACGCGAGGAACCUUACCUGGGCUCAAAUGUAUGUUGACGUAUUCUGAAAGGGAUACUUCUUCGGACAAUAUACAAGGUGCUGCAUGGUUGUCGUCAGCUCGUGCCGUGAGGUGUCGGGUUAAGUCCCAUAACGAGCGCAACCCCUAUCAUUAGUUGCCAUCAGGUCAAGCUGGGGACUCUAAUGAAACUGCCUACGCAAGUAGUGAGGAAGGUGGGGAUGACGUCAAAUCAGCACGGCCCUUACGUCCAGGGCUACACACGUGCUACAAUGGCCGGUACAAAGGGCAGCUACCUGGUGACAGGAUGCAAAUCUCCAAAGUCGGUCUCAGUUCGGAUCGGAGUCUGCAACCCGACUCCGUGAAGUUGGAUUCGCUAGUAAUCGCGCAUCAGCCAUGGCGCGGUGAAUACGUUCCCGGGCCUU